RNAcentral lists this ribosomal RNA (485 nucleotides) under uncultured bacterium. RNAcentral's name for it is "partial 16S ribosomal RNA". It matches the Rfam family "Bacterial small subunit ribosomal RNA", at positions 28 to 523 of the family's 1533-position model. The record is from RNAcentral.
GAUGAACGCUGGCGGCGUGCUUAACACAUGCAAGUCGAACGGUGAACACGGAGCUUGCUCUGUGGGAUCAGUGGCGAACGGGUGAGUAACACGUGAGCAACCUGCCCCUGACUCUGGGAUAAGCGCUGGAAACGGCGUCUAAUACUGGAUACGAGUAGCGGCCGCAUGGUCAGUUACUGGAAAGAUUUUUUGGUUGGGGAUGGGCUCGCGGCCUAUCAGCUUGUUGGUGAGGUAAUGGCUCACCAAGGCGUCGACGGGUAGCCGGCCUGAGAGGGUGACCGGCCACACUGGGACUGAGACACGGCCCAGACUCCUACGGGAGGCAGCAGUGGGGAAUAUUGCACAAUGGGCGAAAGCCUGAUGCAGCAACGCCGCGUGAGGGAUGACGGCCUUCGGGUUGUAAACCUCUUUUAGCAGGGAAGAAGCGAAAGUGACGGUACCUGCAGAAAAAGCGCCGGCUAACUACGUGCCAGCCGCCGCGGUAA